This is a non-coding RNA of Xyrichtys novacula (pearly razorfish), 512 nucleotides long. NCBI's taxonomy places the organism in Eukaryota, Metazoa, Chordata, Actinopteri, Labriformes, Labridae. The record is from the annotation of a GenBank genome assembly.
GUGAAAAUCUGAGAUCUGUACUUGUCAUGGUUUUUUGUGUCCUGUUAUUCUGUACGAGGUAUGUAUGCCUCCCUUUGGCUGCACAUGUAUGUCUCUGCUUUUCCCCUAAACAUGACGGAGGUGUCGAGCCGUGGCGUUGGAUGUGCUGACCACCACCAGGUCUUGGGUGGAUCUGAUGCUGCCCCACUUCGAUGAGCUGCUCCUCCAUCCAGACCGGGAAGUUUUUAAGAGUCACCGUCAAGCUGAAGGUUUCUGAAGUUCUCUUUUAAUGAUUUUGAGAAACUUUUCAAAGUUCUUGUAGUUGUUUUCACCGAGGUCCAAACACUCCAGCUUUUCUGGGGGUUUGUAGACGCCCAAGAGAAAAUUGAUUUUAAAUCUGUCUGUUGAAUCUUUUAAGUCUGUUUCCAAUGUAGUGACCCAUCUUUCUGUUUCUCCAAAAUCUAUCUUGUGUUGUUACAGAGUCUACAUCCAAGAAGACCCUGGCAGACCCCAUCACCUGCUGGACUCUGAGC